Long non-coding RNA from Canis lupus familiaris (dog), 3508 nucleotides. RefSeq lists it as uncharacterized. The transcript is spliced from 2 exons. The record is from RefSeq and is a predicted model, not a curated record. NCBI's taxonomy places the organism in Eukaryota, Metazoa, Chordata, Mammalia, Carnivora, Canidae.
GACUCGAUCCAGGGCCCCCAGGAUCACGCCCCGGGCCUAAACCGCUGCACCACCGGAGCUGCCCAAGGUUAAAGUUGGUCACAAUAAAUUUGGGGAGACAAGCCUUGAGAAUCGAGAUCCAACAUGGAAAAUAAGAUGAAUUGACUUCCCAGGCUGCAUGAGUAUUCACAUUUCUCAUUUGCAAUGGGUUUGUUUCUUCUUAUGACCUCAAAAUGCAUUGAGGAACUUAGGGAAAACUAUAUGGCAUUCUUUAGGUUUUCCUUAUCAUCACUAAGUGAAAUAGCAUCAAAAUAUUUUUAGAAAAGUGGCAGCAUCUGGCAUACAGUAUCAAUAAUCUUAUCAUAGAUCCACUGAGGCUCCCACUUUACUGUCAAUUUCGUUCGCAUUCACAGUUUUAGCAUUACAGCUAACUAUUUUUUUAGUUGAUGAUCUGCAACCCUUUGCCUGAGCUAUAGGCAGGCACUUUGGUGGGGGGUUGGGGGGGGACGAGAAUCUUCAUAUCAUCAUUAACAAAUGCUUUACUAGUUUCUUUAUUUGGCCAUCAGGUGCUUCAGAAUAGGCCAGUUUGGGAGGAAUUUUCUUGGCAUAUUUUUAAUUUGUAUCUUGAUUUUUGGAGGUAAAUUUGUCAUUUUUAAUUGCUGCCGGAGGCAUUUUGUUGAAGGAUUCCUUUUUGGUUCCUUCAUCUUCGUCAUCUGCUUCAUCUUCUUUAUAAGUAUCAUUUCCUGAUAUUUCUGUAGCUUUAGAAGAAUUUGCAUCUAUUAUUUCUCAUCCUCUUCAUAAUUUCCUCAAUCCUAUUUUUUCUUUCCAGUCUUUCCAGCAGAUUCUCUCUCGAAGAUCUGAGCAGUGUAUCCCAUGACCACCUAAAUACCCCUUGCCCCUCACUGAUCCAUUUUCUCCACUUAUGUUCUGGGUGCAGCUCUUCUACAAUUCCUCUAGACUUCUCUUCCUGAGCUAAACCUUAGAAGAAGGAGAUUACUAGGACAGACUACACCCCCAUCACUCAGUUGGUCUCAGGGCUGCAACUGCUAUUCAUCCUCCUCCUCUAGUACCCAUUCCAAAUCCUACUGUUUUACCAGUAGUAGCUUACCUAGGUGUGACCCAAAUCCUUAUUCCUAAAGAGAAUGCGUGGUUAUUGGCAACUGUAUCCUUUUCAGGCAGGGAUUCCUGCACAUGUCCUCCCACAUCUCCAAUUACAUAUUAAGAGACUUCCAAGGGUUCCAAGGGAAUCACCUAGGAUCCACAUAUAUUUUUCCCCAUCCAUUAUAUGAAAGCAGCCCUUCCUCUUCCUGUUGAUCUAGGUCACUUGCCCCUACCAAGUUGGGGACUCCUCUUCUUGCCUGCUGGGGGCCAGACACAAAAAGUCCAAAGUGCGCAAACAGUAGCCAUAGUGUAUAGUUCAGUGGGACUCUAAUUGUGUUCCUUGACAAAAAUGCACUUCCUUUGGGGACCAGGAAUCCUAAACUUGCAAAGCCCAGAGUUGUGAGAACAGGAAGCACAAUGACUCGUUGAGAUAUUAAGUGGGGCCACUUCUGCUCCCCCCACUUUGUUCCUGGACCCACAUAUUCUUCCUGUUAGGGGCAAUGCCAAUCAGAUGUCUCCGAUUUAGUGGACAUACUGCAUCCUGAAGGAUGAUAUGCAAUCCUUACAGAAUAUUGCCUCUAAACUGACACUUCAGCUGUGCUUUCAGUAGGUUGUCUAGCGCUCUUAACAGGCUGGCUGCUUCUGGGUAGUGCAGUGGGUGAUAAAACCAGUAGAUGCAUUGGUCACAAGCUUUACACCCACAUCACCUUUACUGUGCAGUAGUUCCGCUGUUUGGAUGUACUGUUGAGUUAAAUCCCAUGCCAGCGGAUAGGGCCUUCUGUAAGCUCCUAGAUAGUAGUAUAGGCUGAGGCUCUGCAGGCAAAAUAGGCAAAUCCAUACCCAGAAUAGGUAUCUAUCCAUGUUAGGAUGAAGUAUUGGUCACUACAGAACGGAAGGGCCUCAGUGUUGUUGACUUGCCACCAAAUGGCUCGUUUAUCUCAAGUAAAAUGCCUUAUCAGGGACUCAGUGUUAGUCUCUGUUGCUAGCAAGUUAGACCUCCAGAGAUAGAAGCAAUUAGAUUGGUCUUGGAAGGGGAAUUCACGCUGUUGGGCUCAUGUGUAGCCUCUAUCUCUGCAAAUGUGGCCAUUCCAUUCAGGUGCGCAUUGUGCCAGUUUGGGGGAGGCCAUGACAAAGCUUGGCUAACAUCAACUGGAGAAUCUUUUUAUCUACUUGAUUGUUUCAUACCCUUUCCAAUGUUGGAAUAAACGUGAUACAAACAUCUUCACCUUUUGUGACCACUCUAUUAUGUCUGUCCACAUGCCUCUACUCCAGACUUCCAUGUCUCCAAUCUUCCAGGCUUUUCCUUUAAAACCCUGACCAGCUGGCCAGGCCAUGGCCACUGCCCAGUCAACUAUAUAAAUUCCCAUCAGGGGUACUUAUUCUUUCAUACAAGAAAGUCUUUCAUGACCAACUAUACUGCUUGAAGCUCUGCCCACUAGGAAGAUUUUCCCUCUCUAUUGUCUUUUAGGGACACCACUGAAUAUGGCUGUAAUGUGCUGCCAUCCACUUUAUAGUUUCCACCCAUACACCAAGCCAACCCAUUCAUAACCAAGCUUGAGCUUUUUUUCUCCUCCCUUACCUGGCCAGACAGCCAGAGGAAGGGGUGCUAGUGGGUCAUAUGGGGGUGGGGCUACUAGCUUAUGCGGUUAACUCAUGCCUUGGGAUUUUAUUUUGAAUGCAUCAUUUCCAUAUUACGAUGAACUGCUGCUAGGCCCAUCAACUUUAUGACUAGGAAAGUCUCACAGAAUUCAGCUCAUGAUGGCAGUUCUAGACACAUAGUAACUUGGUGCCUCAUGGUCAAGCUUUCUGCCUCUAAUGGGGCCCAGGACUAUGCCAGCGGCUGUUCCUUGAAAGGAGUAAAAUCUUCUGCUACAGAUGGCCUGACCUUGCUCCAAAAUCCCAGAAGACUAUAUUGUGAUCUCCUAUUGGGACUUGCUUUAAAUUCCACACUGCCUGCUGCAGAGCCCAUUGCUGUUUCCGACUACUUAGAACUGGCAACCUUUCAUAUACCCCAGGAUAUGAGCCAGAAUGGUAUUCCUAGGUGUGAAAUUUGUGCUUUUGGAAUCCAAAGAGGCCCACCAGACAUUGUGCUUCAUUAGUAGGAAAUGCAAGAUACAGAAGUUUGUCUUUUACUCUGGAGGGGAUGUCUUCACAUGUCACUGACUAUUGGGCCUCAAAAUUUUACUGAAUCUUCUUAGAGUUUAUCUCUCACCCUCUGGAUACAUGUAUCUUACCAAGGCCUCUAGCAUGCACGUCAUGUCUUACUCAUUCUACCCAUCAGUAUAUUAUUGGUAUAAUAUUUCAGUGUAAUGUUCUACGGAAUGUCCAGACAGUCCAGAUCUCUUCAGACUGUAUUAUAAUAGAGGGCAGACGAAUUAACAUAGUCCUUGGACAAAAGUGGAAAUAAAUAUGACCUCUUCUACAUGAA